AUGGAGAAGAUCAGCGCGCUUGCGUACAAGCUCGACCUACCUCCAGAAAGCCAAGUCCAUCCUGUCUUCCAUGUUUCGCAGCUGAAGCCCUUCACCCCCAACUUCACACCGGUGUACGGCGAGUUACCCAAGGUGCCGGACCUCUCCGUCGACAACCUCACCCCUACACGCAUCCUAGACCAGUGUAUGAUGAAGCACGGCGAUGCGCCGGUGGUGCAGCUCAAGGUGUAGUGGGGCACCGGCGACUCCGCGCCGACGACAUGGGAGGACUAGGACGUGCUCCGCCACCGUUUUCCGUCAGCACCACUUUGGGCGGAGGCAGACGACGAAGACCACGCGUAA
Molecule: ribosomal RNA, 342 nt
Filed under: Triticum aestivum (bread wheat)
Lineage: Eukaryota; Viridiplantae; Streptophyta; Magnoliopsida; Poales; Poaceae
Description: partial small subunit ribosomal RNA
Source: RNAcentral